RNAcentral lists this ribosomal RNA (131 nucleotides) under Candidatus Blautia faecavium. Its description in RNAcentral is "partial 23S ribosomal RNA". It matches the Rfam family "Bacterial large subunit ribosomal RNA", at positions 2793 to 2925 of the family's 2925-position model. Lineage: Bacteria; Bacillati; Bacillota; Clostridia; Lachnospirales; Lachnospiraceae. The record is from RNAcentral.
CCCCCCUCAAGAUGAGAUAUCCCAUCCGAAAGGAGUAAGACCCCUUGAAGACGACGAGGUAGAUAGGGCAGGGGUGGAAGUACAGUAAUGUAUGGAGCUGACUGCUACUAAUCGGUCGAGGGCUUGACCAA